RNAcentral lists this ribosomal RNA (253 nucleotides) under uncultured bacterium. RNAcentral describes it as "partial 16S ribosomal RNA". It matches the Rfam family "Bacterial small subunit ribosomal RNA", at positions 524 to 776 of the family's 1533-position model. The record is from RNAcentral.
UACGUAGGGCGCAAGCGUUAUCCGGAAUUAUUGGGCGUAAAGAGCUCGUAGGCGGUUUGUCGCGUCUGCCGUGAAAGUCCGGGGCUCAACUCCGGAUCUGCGGUGGGUACGGGCAGACUAGAGUGCAGUAGGGGAGACUGGAAUUCCUGGUGUAGCGGUGAAAUGCGCAGAUAUCAGGAGGAACACCGAUGGCGAAGGCAGGUCUCUGGGCUGUAACUGACGCUGAGGAGCGAAAGCUAGGGGAGCAAACGGG